UACCAAGUUUUCCACAACAGGAAAGUGAGCCAGUGACCUCCAGGGUUGGUACUAUCAACCCAUCUUAAAUAGGACUCUUGGGCCAAGUAAAUGAAAUACAUGUUGGAAAGCGGUUUGUUCCUUGUAAUAGACCAUGUAUGUUUCCGCUGAUUUAACUAACAUUAUUACUUAGACGAAUUCCUUGAAUUUUUGCCUUGAGAAUAGGAAUAUUCCAAUUAUGUCAGUACUUUUGGUCCUUCACUGAUCCUACAGCAUACGCAUCAGAAGCCUGUAAAGUAUCAUGGUUGAGCAUAUGUUUUAUUUAUUUAUUUAUUUAUUUAUUGAUAGGCAGAGUGGACAGUGAGAGAGAGAGUGCUUCUCCUGGUCUCCCAUGGGGUGCAGGGCCCAAGCACUUGUGCCAUCCUCCACUGCACUCCCUGGCCAUAGCAGAGAGCUGGACUGGAAGAGGAGCAACCGGGACAGAAUCUGGCACCCCGACCGGGACUAGAACCUGGGGUGCCGGCACCACAGGCGGAAGAUUAGCCUAUUGAGCCGCGGCACCAGCCGAGCAUAUGGGUUUUGAUUUAAAUUGAUGUGAUUCUGCUUCACCCAGCAUUCACUUGCUUCAAAUUGUUUACUCAUACCAUAAAUACAGUGCCUAUUCCACACAAUUUUGUUAAGGAUUAAGUAAGGUACACUUCACUUAAAGCAAGCACCUGUAAGUACUCAGUAACUGACCAUCACAAUUCUAGUAUUUACCUAUUUUAAGACUCUCAGAGGAGGUGAUAGGGUGUAAAUAAGUUCCCCUAGCCCUGGUCUUGAUGCACAAAUAAGCAGUGUGGCCUUGUCUUACCACAUUUGGUAGAAACAUCAAAGAAGUGCUCCCAGGCUUUAGCCAGAGAAAAUCAUCCCAGAAUAUUUCCCUUGAUCACUUUCCUGUGGUCAGUGGCAGAAUGGAGUCAGUGCAGAAUGGAGUGCUGCUCACUGGAGGGAACCUCAGUUUUGACAAGCCUCUGGUAAAGGCAGGAGAAGCAAAAUGUGCAAAAGUCCUGGAGCCUGCAAAAUUCUUCUAUGCCCUCUUGGCUAAAACGGAGAACAGUAUGGGGGUUCUUGGAUCAGGACUCCAACCAUUGCUUGUGAGAUGUGUAGAUGCUACAGGAAUCUUUCAGUUUCAUUUGCUGUGUGGUCCGCUGAAGGAAGCCUGCUUGGCUCAGAGUCCACAAUGCUGCCACUGAUGGCCUCCAGGUGCCCGUUCCAGCUCCAGACUCACACCUUUGGCAGACACUUUAUUCCCACUCUGCUUGACUCAAAAUGGAGAGGGGAUCAUCUAGAUUUGCUUCUCUUGGGACAUCCAUGUUUUAUGUGAUAUUGGACUCUAUUUGAGAGCUUCAGAAAUUGACCUUAUUGCUGUAUUAGAAUCCUCAUUAAUUUGUUUUCGUUUUAAAAAAGAUGACUGACUCAUUUUACAGAUAAUUAAGACCAUGUUUUGACCAUUUGAUGUGAGCUUUGUGCAAAUAAUUAUGACUUUGUAUACUUUCUAUAGCAAGAAAUUUAUCUUUCAUAUUAAUUUUAUCAAAAAAUCAGCUUGGUGUUUGUUGUGUAGCCACAUUCUUAAGAGAAGCCAAACAUUAUGAUUUUUAUUUGUAGAUUUUUCUAAAAUUGGAAUAAUAUGAUAAAUAUUUUGAGUACUGGUAAAUUAUUCAAGAAUAUUUACCACCAGAACAUGUUACAUCUAACAGUUAGAAAUCCAAUUAAGUAAUUUUAAGACAAUUUUUUUUUUUUGAGAGAGACAGAAAAACAGAGACAGAACAACAUACAGAGUCCCCUCCCCCUUUGCUAGUUCACUCUCCAAAUGACAAAAUGGCUGGGGCUGAAUCAGGCCUAAGCUGAAAGCUGGAACACAAUCCAGGUCUCCCAAGUGGUGGCACAGACUGGAGUUCACAAACUGCCACUUGCUGCCUCCCAGGGUGAACAUCAGCGGGAAAGAGAAAUUAUGUGCAAAGCCAGGACUGCAGUCCAGCCAGGCGAAUGUGGAAUGUGGGCAUCCCAAGCAAGCACCUUAACAGCUAGGUCAAAUGCCAUUUAAGACACAUGUUUAAUUGACUCAUAUUUUUUAAAAUACUAUGCAGAAAAGGAAAUAUUCUGAUUUGAUAUUAAAAUGGAGCACAUAUGCUACAUUCUACUAUAUUUUAUUAGUUUUCUGUGACUGCAUAGCAUAUAAAGUAACUUGGUUUGUAUUCUCUUCUGAGAGUUCGAUUUCGGAAAAUCUGCUCCCAGUCAUUGUGCUUUUGGCAGGAUUCAUUUGCUUGUGGCUGUAUGACUGAGGGUCCUGCCUGUUUGCCGUCUGUUGACUGGAGGCCACCUUCGGUACUAAGAGGCCUCUCACAAGUCCUGGGAGCCCAUGGCAGUUCCCAGACCUUACCCACAGGUCCUUUCAGUGCAAUUUUAAAGCAUGACUGUUUGCUUCAUCAAGCCAGAAAAAAGAGCAUCCUCCUAGCAAGAUGGAGAUACAAGUAUAAUCUAUAGAUACACACACACACACACACACACAUACACGGAUAUAUCUACACACACAUCAUUGUAGGCUCAACCUUUGUGCCCUGUACCUUCACCAAAUGCUAUUGGAUAGAACAAAGACCAGCUCCCACCAGCACCCAAGGCAGGGGAGGGAGAAAACACAAAGGUUUGAAUACCUGGAGCUGAAAACUCGUCAGAGGUCAAUUUAGAGACCAUUCACCAUAUGUAUGAAAUAUUUCCAGUAAAAUGAAUAUUUCAAUAGUCACUAGUUACAACUUAAUUUGGAAGACUUUAAAGAUAUUGUUGGCAUUUUUGAAAUUUCAAUAAAUAUCAUAGGAAAGCACAGGUUAUGCCAUGUUUAUGUUGUGCAGAACACUGUGUUCUUAAGUUGGAAGCACUUUUCCAUCUUGUUGAUAAAUCUGCAUUUGUGUGACAUGGAAAGAAUAAAGUCUAACACUGGAUGGCAGUAGUAGCUCGUUCAAAAUUCAAUCAGUUAAAGUCCCAGUACAAAGCAAACCAUGAGAAGUAAACACCUCAUUUUUAUAUUUUUUCAUGAAUUCCAUUUUAGAUUCUUUCACAUUGCCAGUUCUAAAUACCCUUUAUUCUGGUGUGGUGCAAUUAGGUGUGUUUAUUAGAUUUUUAGCAUUUUUCAAUUGGGUUUCCAAAAGCAAAUGUCAGCUAAUUAAACUUGUAAAUAAAAUUCUUGAAAAUGAAUUUGGAUAUACCUGAUAUAUUGAGUCAGAUAAAUGAAACUGAGCAAAUGUUUUUAGAGCCCUCCAUAUAACUGAUGCAAUGCUAUGAGAUAGAAAAAUAGAUAAGUAAUAGAAUACAUGUUAUAUCCUUUCAAAGACUUGCCUUUUUACACUAGAAAGACAUCCACAUACAGAAUUUAAAGUCAAAUGGUCAUUGCCAUUUCCUGGUCACAAAGAUUAAGCACAAAAUAUUAACCCUUGCUUUUCAAGUGGGAGAUCAAGAGAUAGAAAAAUGUUCUGCUGUCUCUCCAUACUUUGAAAUUUUAGGGUUAGUUCUCAUAUUUGUGAAGUGGCAUGUGCAUCAAAUGCCAGUGUGGUAUUUAUCCAUUUAUAAAUCUUCAAAUCAUUUUAAGAACAUUGUGAAGAGAACAUUAACUUUGUUGUAACCACACCAUUUCUACAGAUUGAGAGAGAAGUGAGAUUUAAAGAGAAGUAACAGUUUUACACUCAUAAUAGUAUAUGAGCUACAACUAUAACUCUGAGAGUCCACGCAGAUGGUAGUUUCUGAAAGAAUUUAGCUGACCAAGUCACUAAGAAUUCACCCAUUUUUCUAAAGGAAACACAGCAAAGUGAAGAGGCAACCAACAGAAUGGAAGAAAAUAUUUGCAAACUAUGCAACUGAUAAAGGACUAAUAUCCAGAAUCUAUAAAGAGCUUAAGAAACUCAACAACAAAACAAAUAAUCCAGUUAAGAAAUACGCAAAGGACUUGAACAGGCAUUUUUCAAAAGAGGAAAUUCAAAUGACCAACAGACACAUGAAAAAAUGCUCAGGAGUACUAGCCAUCAGGGAAAUGCAAACACCUCACCCCAGUUAGAAUGGUUCUCAUACAGAAAUUCUCAAACGCUAAAUGCUAGCGAGGAUGUUGGGGAAAAGGUACCCUAAUCCACUGUUGGUGGGAAUGUAAACUGGUAAAACCACUAGGGAAGACAGUAUGGAGAUAACUCAGAAAUCUGAAUAUAGACCUACUAUAUGACCCAGCCAUCCCACUCUUGGGAAUUUAUCCAAAUAAAAUGAAAUCAGUAUAUGAGUUAUCUGUACGCCCAUGUUUAUUGCAGUUCAAUUCACAAUAGCUGAGAUACAGAAUCAACCCAGAUGUCCACCAACUGAUAACUGUAUAAAGAAAUUGUAGUAUAUAUAUAUAUAUAUAUAGAGAGAGAGAGAGAGAGAGAGAGAGAGUAUGGAGUAGUAUUCAGCCUUAAAAAAAAGAAUGAAAUCUUUUCUUUUGCAACAAAAUGUAUGCAACUGGAAACCAUUAUACUUAGUGAAAUAAGCCAGUCCCCAAAAGACAAAUACUGUAUGUUUUCCCUGAUCUGUGGUAACUAACAGAGUACCAAAAAAUGUAAUGUAUAGCAGUGAAAUUGAAAACAAAAGAAUUCAUCCAAUUGAGAUGAAGCAAAAGAAAUUGAGGAAAGGAAUUUUGUACUGCAUGUACUCUUUUGACUUUUAAAUCAAAAGGCAAGACAUUCUUUGUGCUUCCAUCCUGUUGGAUUUAAAUAGAUUGAUCCUUUAAUUUUCUAGAAGCAUGGUCUUUUUUCUCAAAAAUGUCAUAGAGGUAGAUCAAUUACACAUAUAUACAGAUGUGUCUUAGCUUUAUGUUUUUGCAAUUGUACUCUUGGCACAAAUUUACUUAGUACUUUAUUUCACUGCUGAACCUUUCAUAUACUCUUAUCAGACAAUGAACCUUGAUAUAAUUUGAGGUAUAACAUGAAUUGAGAAAUUUUAAUAUUAAGUACAGAGAAGCUUUUGAGAUAUAUUUUUUGAUGUGCUCUUUGAUCAAUUUCAGAAACUUCAGGAGGGAAAAAUCUACAUACCUGAGAGUGCUGGUUGGCAUGACACUCCUAAAAGUUGGCUGAUCUGAGGGCAAUAUUGCACUUCAUGGUUAAGCCUAAUGGCUUGAGAAGACACUAUCCUGGGUAGUAUGGACUCUGUUGGUGCCUUUCCUUAGUCCUGAGGGAGGAGGAAUGAUGAGCCUCACUGAGUACUGAUCCUAGGUUGUUCUUUUGCAUUGUUGGAGGGAUUAUCUGCUUGUUAAGGGCAUGCAUCCUGUUUGGCUCCUCCAUGUAUUUAGAUUUAGAGGUAGGCUAUGUUCUGGGGACUGUAGUUGAAUAGUAUUGCCUCUGACUAAUGGUACAACUUAUUUGGAAGCCCAUAGAUGCUUGACACUUAAGUUACAUAUUUUACCAUAACUUUAUUAGUAUUAAAGGGGGGUGUUUUGAGUCUCAUUCCUAUCUGUCAACUAGUUUGUACAUUAGAUAGUACAUAGGAGAAGUAUAUAUAGGGGUCCCUUAAAAACCAGAUACUGGCCAAAUAAAUUUCAGUGUUAUAUGAAGUUAUAUGUAUGGUUAUUUUACAAAAAUACACACACAUCUUUAUCUAUUUGGCCUUAAAUGCAUCUUGGUUCAGAAAAUAUGGUAAAUAAUAACACACAUAAAAUACUUUUUAUCUCAAAUUAACUAUCAAUUGUAAGGUUAAUCACAGAUUCAGGUAUAUAAUUUCUCAAUAAUACAUUUUGUAAAUUAACUCAUAGAAACUUUGAUCUUUAUGGGUAACUAUGGGCCUUGUAUACAAACAUCUCAUAUGAAGGUGUUUCAAAAAGUACAUGGGGAUCGCUCUUCAGCCUUUUGUCUAAGAUCAUGUGUAAAAGUACCUGGGGAAAUUAAAAGAUAAUGAGCAUUUUUCAUUUCCAUGCAUUUUUGAAGACCUCUUUUAUGGAUUUUUUCACUUCCUCUAUUGUGUUGAAAUUGUCUAUUUAUAAGAGUACUAAAUUACAGAUGCUGAAGGACAGGAAGGGACUUGGUUUAAUAUACCUGUUAAAAAUUCAGUUCUCGGUGAAAUAUUGGAAAGUGGACCUAAAGUCAACCCUAGAACAACACAAUUUAGCAUCCAUAAAGCUGAAAUGCAAUUCCUUCCAUUGCAUGCCUGUUGUCACUAACACAUUAGCUUAAAUGGUAUUAAUUGAACAAAUGGAUUGAAGGUAAAACUACUUACAUUUGCUUCGUGCAAAGCUCUACAGAUUACAUGUUUAUGUUGUUAAAACCUCAAAAAAACUUCAAAAUAGGAAGCUGAGGCUUAGAGGGGUUUCAUGCCCUGUGCAAGGUUGUAUAAUCAGCGUUUCAGACAUGAGAACCUGUGUUAAGCUAGCACUGUGAUAAGCAAAUACUCUCUGUGCCAAUCAAUUCCUGAUUAGUAAAGCCAGGCUUUCAAAGACAAUUUUUAAAUUAUUCGAAAUCUAGAAUUUUUUGGAUUUUAAUUCAGUGAUAAACAAAUAUAUCUUUAUUCAGCUAAGUAGAAUUUUGAAUUUAUCUUACUCCCAAAUUCUUCCACACGGUUAAAUAAAUAAAGCUAUUCCUUCUUGUUACCAUGAUGUCAACAAUUGCUUUCCGAAUGUGUUAAAGAACUCUGAGCCGUCCAGACUGUGUUACUAAAGAUGUAUUCUUAUGGGUUUAACAUAUGGGUGUGUGGAUUUAUUAAGCACAAUGGAAUCCUGCUUUAAACAUGAGCCUGGUGCUCAAAUUUAUUUAAGUGACCAUAUUAAUUAUCUAAAAGAAUGUGACUGUGAGCACUUGGCAAUGAAAGCUGUAUUUUAUUUUCCAUUUUAUCUUGAAAACGGAUGAUGGAGAAGUGUUUUUGGCAAAGAUUGCCCAGUCCCUGUAUUUCUGACAAAGCUGCUUUCAGUUCAGAAGGAUCACCUUACCUCUUGGUCCUUUAAAUACUCUGACAGCUACCAGAGAUGUCUGGACAAUGUGUUAAUUGUAAUCACUUCAAAAUUGUUGUUUGUCUUAUUCCUAAUAAUCAAAUUACUUAAUUUCAGAGAAAAGAAACCUCAGCAUUGGACAGAGCUAAAAGAAGUAAAGAUGAAAGAGAAAUAAUGGAGGCUUCUCGUGCCAAACUCCCUUUGCUUUGGUUUUAAAAUAUGUGGUUUAAAUUUUACUGUAACUCUUGCUAGCUGACUAACCUUGGGCAAAAUUGUGAUCUGCAGUAACUCUUUAUUAAAUGGGUACAACAAUA
Non-coding RNA from Oryctolagus cuniculus (rabbit), 7257 nucleotides. The record is from RefSeq and is a predicted model, not a curated record. Lineage: Eukaryota; Metazoa; Chordata; Mammalia; Lagomorpha; Leporidae.